RNAcentral lists this ribosomal RNA (460 nucleotides) under uncultured bacterium. Its description in RNAcentral is "partial 16S ribosomal RNA". It matches the Rfam family "Bacterial small subunit ribosomal RNA", at positions 338 to 795 of the family's 1533-position model. The record is from RNAcentral.
CCUACGGGGUGCAGCAGUGAGGAAUAUUGGUCAAUGGACGCAAGUCUGAACCAGCCAUGCCGCGUGCAGGAAGACGGCUCUAUGAGUUGUAAACUGCUUUUGUACGAGGGUAAACGCAGAUACGCGUAUCUGUCUGAAAGUAUCGUACGAAUAAGGAUCGGCUAACUCCGUGCCAGCAGCCGCGGUAAUACGGAGGAUUCCAGCGUUAUCCGGAUUUAUUGGGUUUAAAGGGUGCGUAGGCGGUCGGAUAAGUUAGAGGUGAAAUCCCGAGGGUAAACUUCAGACUUGCCUCUGAUAAUGUUCGUCUAGAGAGUAGUUGCGGUAGGCGGAAUGUAUGGUGUAGCGGUGAAAUGCUUAGAGAUCAUACAGAACACCGAUUGCGAAGGCAGCUUACCAAGCUCCUUCUGACGUUGAGGCACGAAAGCGUGGGUAGCAAACAGGAUUAGAUACCCUAGUAGUC